Molecule: small RNA, 28 nt
Filed under: Bombyx mori (domestic silkworm)
Lineage: Eukaryota; Metazoa; Arthropoda; Insecta; Lepidoptera; Bombycidae
Description: ovarian small RNA-6944
Source: RNAcentral
UCACUUGGUCCAGGGCUCCCCUGAUGGU